RNAcentral lists this non-coding RNA (31 nucleotides) under Rattus norvegicus (Norway rat). Lineage: Eukaryota; Metazoa; Chordata; Mammalia; Rodentia; Muridae. The record is from RNAcentral.
GACAAUGUCUCAACCAUGCUAGCCUAGAAUC